CCUACGGGAGGCAACAGUGGGGAAUAUUGGACAAUGGGGGCAACCCUGAUCCAGCCAUGCCGCGUGUGUGAAGAAGGCCCUCGGGUUGUAAAGCACUUUCAGUGAGGAAGAACGCCUGGUGGUUAAUACCCAUCAGGAAAGACAUCACUCACAGAAGAAGCACCGGCUAACUCCGUGCCAGCAGCCGCGGUAAUACGGAGGGUGCGAGCGUUAAUCGGAAUUACUGGGCGUAAAGCGCGCGUAGGUGGCUUGAUAAGCCGGUUGUGAAAGCCCCGGGCUCAACCUGGGAACGGCAUCCGGAACUGUCAAGCUAGAGUGCAGGAGAGGAAGGUAGAAUUCCCGGUGUAGCGGUGAAAUGCGUAGAGAUCGGGAGGAAUACCAGUGGCGAAGGCGGCCUUCUGGACUGACACUGACACUGAGGUGCGAAAGCGUGGGUAGCAAACAGGAUUAGAUACCCCGGUAGUC
This 465-nucleotide ribosomal RNA is filed under the name Vreelandella stevensii. Its description in RNAcentral is "partial 16S ribosomal RNA". It matches the Rfam family "Bacterial small subunit ribosomal RNA", at positions 338 to 795 of the family's 1533-position model. Lineage: Bacteria; Pseudomonadati; Pseudomonadota; Gammaproteobacteria; Oceanospirillales; Halomonadaceae. The record is from RNAcentral.